This 468-nucleotide ribosomal RNA is filed under the name uncultured bacterium. RNAcentral describes it as "partial 16S ribosomal RNA". It matches the Rfam family "Bacterial small subunit ribosomal RNA", at positions 36 to 507 of the family's 1533-position model. The record is from RNAcentral.
UCCUCCCUCUUUCUUCGUGCUUAACGCAUGCAAGUCGAACGGAAAGGCCCUGCUUUUGUGGGGUGCUCGAGUGGCGAACGGGUGAGUAACACGUGAGUAACCUGCCCUUGACUUUGGGAUAACUUCAGGAAACUGGGGCUAAUACCGGAUAGGAGCUCCUGCUGCAUGGUGGGGGUUGGAAAGUUUCGGCGGUUGGGGAUGGACUCGCGGCUUAUCAGCUUGUUGGUGGGGUAGUGGCUUACCAAGGCUUUGACGGGUAGCCGGCCUGAGAGGGUGACCGGCCACAUUGGGACUGAGAUACGGCCCAGACUCCUACGGGAGGCAGCAGUGGGGAAUAUUGCACAAUGGGCGGAAGCCUGAUGCAGCAACGCCGCGUGCGGGAUGACGGCCUGCGGGUUGUAAACCGCUUUCGCCUGUGACGAAGCGUGAGUGACGGUAAUGGGUAAAGAAGCACCGGCUAACUACGUG